Molecule: non-coding RNA, 45 nt
Filed under: Schistosoma mansoni
Lineage: Eukaryota; Metazoa; Platyhelminthes; Trematoda; Strigeidida; Schistosomatidae
Source: RNAcentral
GUCCAGCUGAUGAGUCCGAAAUAGGACGAAACGAACGUCCUGGAU